UACGGGGGGGAGCAAGCGUUGUUCGGAUUUACUGGGCGUAAAGGGCGCGUAGGCGGCGUGACAAGUCACUUGUGAAAUCUCCGGGCUUAACUCGGAACGGUCAAGUGAUACUGUCGUGCUAGAGUACAGAAGGGGCAACCGGAAUUCUCGGUGUAGCGGUGAAAUGCGUAGAUAUCGAGAGGAACACCGGCGGCGAAGGCGGCCAACUGGACGAACACUGACGCUGAGGAGCGAAAGUGUGGGGAGCGAACAGG
This 254-nucleotide ribosomal RNA is filed under the name uncultured bacterium. RNAcentral's name for it is "partial 16S ribosomal RNA". It matches the Rfam family "Bacterial small subunit ribosomal RNA", at positions 524 to 776 of the family's 1533-position model. The record is from RNAcentral.